This 301-nucleotide ribosomal RNA is filed under the name uncultured bacterium. RNAcentral's name for it is "partial 16S ribosomal RNA". It matches the Rfam family "Bacterial small subunit ribosomal RNA", at positions 509 to 807 of the family's 1533-position model. The record is from RNAcentral.
CAGCCGCCACGGUAAUACAGAGGGUGCUAGCGUUAAUCGGAUUUACUGGGCGUAAAGCGUGCGUAGGCGGCUUCUUAAGUCGGAUGUGAAAUCCCUGAGCUUAACUUAGGAAUUGCAUUCGAUACUGGGAAGCUAGAGUAUGGGAGAGGAUGGUAGAAUUCCAGGUGUAGCGGUGAAAUGCGUAGAGAUCUGGAGGAAUACCGAUGGCGAAGGCAGCCAUCUGGCCUAAUACUGACGCUGAGGUACGAAAGCAUGGGGAGCAAACAGGAUUAGAUACCCGGGUAGUCCCUGUCUCUUAUAC